RNAcentral lists this ribosomal RNA (460 nucleotides) under uncultured bacterium. RNAcentral describes it as "partial 16S ribosomal RNA". It matches the Rfam family "Bacterial small subunit ribosomal RNA", at positions 338 to 795 of the family's 1533-position model. The record is from RNAcentral.
CCUACGGGAGGCUGCAGUGAGGAAUAUUGGUCAAUGGACGAGAGUCUGAACCAGCCAAGUAGCGUGAAGGAUGACUGCCCUAUGGGUUGUAAACUUCUUUUAUAUGGGAAUAAAACAAGGUAUGCAUACCCUCUUGUAUGUACCUUAUGAAUAAGGAUCGGCUAACUCCGUGCCAGCAGCCGCGGUAAUACGGAGGAUCCGAGCGUUAUCCGGAUUUAUUGGGUUUAAAGGGAGCGUAGGUGGGUUGUUAAGUCAGUUGUGAAAGUUUGCGGCUCAACCGUAAAAUUGCAGUUGAUACUGGCAGUCUUGAGUACAGUAGAGGUGGGCGGAAUUCGUGGUGUAGCGGUGAAAUGCUUAGAUAUCACGAAGAACUCCGAUUGCGAAGGCAGCUUACUGGACUGCGACUGACACUGAUGCUCGAAAGUGUGGGUAUCAAACAGGAUUAGAUACCCCUGUAGUC